Long non-coding RNA from Pyrus x bretschneideri (Chinese white pear), 538 nucleotides. RefSeq lists it as uncharacterized. The transcript has 3 exons. The record is from RefSeq and is a predicted model, not a curated record. NCBI's taxonomy places the organism in Eukaryota, Viridiplantae, Streptophyta, Magnoliopsida, Rosales, Rosaceae.
GGUUUCUCAUGACUGAAUUAUUAAAGUUCUGUAAGAUUUAUUGAAUACUUUUUUCGAACUGUCUCUCGCAGUGGAAUCACCGCCACCAACAGCUCUGGCCGCGCAGUUCGUCAUCGUCCAGUAUUCCUCCAAAAUUCCAUUAUCUCUCCUUGAUUUAUCUGACUCAGUGCGUCUCUAUUCUUCCAUUUACACCCAUAUCUAUCCAAAUGACUGUUUAUAUGCAUCUAUUUGUUAGAGAAGGCUUUUGCCUUUUGGAUUCAAUUUUAUCUGCUCUCUGCGUUGGAUUUGAUGUCUUCUCGGUACUAAUUUUUUUAUUCAGCAAUGGAGCUUGCAUUGUCGAUUGAGAAAUUGGCAAAUGAAAGCUGCUUCACUUGCACAGUGUUGCUGAGAAGAACAAAGAUGUGCAGUUAACAGAUUUUGUUGAAACCGAGUUUUUUUGUUGAGCAGGUGGAAGCCAUCAAGAAAAUAUCUGAAUAUGUUGCUCAACUAAGGACAGUUUUCAAAGGGCACGGUAGGAACCCAUAAUCUGAUUUCGUUG